GAAAUGCGAUAAGUAAUGCGAAUUGCAGAAUUCAGUGAGUCAUCGAAUCUUUGAACGCACAUUGCGCCCUGUGGUAUUCCGCAGGGCAUGCCUGUUCGAGCGUCAGUACAACACUCAAGCCUAGCUUGGUCUUGAGCCUUACUGGUAAUACAGUAGGCUUUAAAAUCAGUGGCGGCGCCAUUAGGCUCUUAGCGUAGUAAUAUUUCUCGCUAUUGGGUUCUCGUGGUUAGCUAGCCAGCAACCCCAACUUCUAAGUUUGACCUCGGAUCAGGUAGGGAUACCCGCUGAACUUAA
Molecule: unclassified non-coding RNA, 294 nt
Filed under: uncultured Helotiales
Lineage: Eukaryota; Fungi; Ascomycota; Leotiomycetes; Helotiales
Description: sequence contains ITS1
Rfam family: 5.8S ribosomal RNA (bases 1-105)
Source: RNAcentral